AAGCUUUAAAUGAAGCGACUCAAUGUUUCUUCAUUACUAAAGUUCUAAAGUGACGUUCACAAAUUAUUAACGGAUCUUAAACUCAGUUGUUAAACUGACUAACUGAGAUUUGAAUCUGUGGCGUAAGGAAGUAGUUCCGCACAAAAGAGCGUUUUUAAAGAUGUGUCAACAAUAUAUGAACAAUAUGUCACAGUCAUAAACCAAGAUGUGCUGUGUGUCAUUCCUAGCAGUGUUUAUAAUGUAAAGUGAGAGACAUUUUACUAUGCAAUAAUACACGGAUCUGCUACCAAAGUCAUCAGUAUUUGUACCUGUCUUUCCUGGAAUCCAUCUAUCUACUAAAAGUUUGUUUUGCCAACUUUUAGGAUCAUUUUAGCAUGAAGGUGACUUAAACCUAAUAAAUACAUUUUGAAUGUAGUAGUUUAAUCCUUAUUCGUUUUUCCUCCUUUCCCCCUAAUUGUCUAUAUCUUGUCAUCAUCAUUAUCAUCAUCAUCAUCAUCAUCAUUAUUAGUAUUAUUUUAUUAAUUCUUCAUAUUACUUUUUAGCUUUGAGGUCUCUUGGCCAAUCCAUGAUGAAACUCACAUGUGAUUGUCAGGAUGUUGAUGGCUGUCGGCUCUCGACGGAUUAUCAGAGGAUAUAAAUCUGUUAUCAAAACAGUAUGUAGAUUAGACUGUCAAAAUGUGAGUGAAGACAAUACUAUGAAAGCGCAGCACUGCUAAGAACUUGUAGCAAAUUAUCAAGACAAAGGACUGUGACAGAGUUGUGCAGCCGACGGCCAACAAAAACAACUUACUUGUUGACAGUGACCUGUGUCUAAUACCUCCAGCAGAAUAAAUCAUGUGUCAAACUCAGGGUAAGAGUGCUGUUGGCCAGCAGCAACAGCGAAACCGGCCUCGGGACUAUUUACGACGAAGGGCGACCUGGAGGAACACGAGGAAAAAUGACAGUUCUGAGGAGCGUCUCAGUGGCUCGGGAAGCCAAACCCCCACGCCGACAUAUUUCAUCUGCUCCUCCAAGAUGUUUGAAGCCUCUGACCCAGCUGGAUUCUGCUUUGAGCUAGUAGUGUUCAAAGUGUUACACGGACACUAA
Long non-coding RNA from Cyprinus carpio carpio, 1086 nucleotides. The record is from Ensembl. NCBI's taxonomy places the organism in Eukaryota, Metazoa, Chordata, Actinopteri, Cypriniformes, Cyprinidae.